UUGUAGGUGACUGAAAUUCUGACGCUGGCCGAGGCCAUCAUGGCGGUACAAGACGAACGACAAGAAAUGAGCCACUUCUUCACCGACAGCAACCGGUCAGGGGACGGCAACAUACACAAGCUGCUGCAAGUGUUCACAUCAACGAACGGCCACCUGGAGAGUCUACCGCCGUCUCUCCUCGCGGAUGGCCUGCGAAUGACGUUAUACCAUUUGCGAGAGGACGCCAGGAGCAGUACGUA
Long non-coding RNA from Cydia fagiglandana, 239 nucleotides. RefSeq lists it as uncharacterized. Lineage: Eukaryota; Metazoa; Arthropoda; Insecta; Lepidoptera; Tortricidae. The transcript is spliced from 3 exons. The record is from RefSeq and is a predicted model, not a curated record.